AAGUCGUAACAAGGUUUCCGUAGGUGAACCUGCGGAAGGAUCAUUGAGAGAGUGGAGGGGAGAGUGAGUGGGAAUGUGGGGUGAGAUAUCACGUGACAAAUUAUUCUUUAUCAAUAUGACUAGCCACCUGGGAUCUCUGGGCUCUU
Molecule: unclassified non-coding RNA, 146 nt
Filed under: fungal sp.
Lineage: Eukaryota; Fungi
Description: partial internal transcribed spacer region
Rfam family: Eukaryotic small subunit ribosomal RNA (bases 1-46)
Source: RNAcentral